CCUACGGGAGACUGCAGUGGGGGAUAUUGCACAAUGGGGGAAACCCUGAUGCAGCGACGCCGCGUGUGGGAAGACGGUCCUCUGGAUUGUAAACCACUGUCCCCAGGGACGAAGAUGACGGUACCUGGGGAGGAAGCUCCGGCAAACUACGUGCCAGCAGCCGCGGUAAUACGUAGGGAGCGCGCGUUGUCCGGAAUUACUGGGUGUAAAGGGAGCGUAGGCGGGACUGCAAGUUGGGUGUCAAAUCUACCGGCUCAACCGGUAGCCGCACUCAAAACUGCAGUUCUUGAGUUAAGUAGAGGCAGGCGGAAUGCCUAGUGUAGCGGUGAAAUGCGUAGAGAUUAGGAGGAACACCAGUGGCGAAGGCGGCCUGCUGAGCUUUGACUGACGCUGAGGCUCGAAAGUGUGGGGAGCAAACAGGAUUAGAUACCCCAGUAGUC
RNAcentral lists this ribosomal RNA (440 nucleotides) under uncultured bacterium. Its description in RNAcentral is "partial 16S ribosomal RNA". It matches the Rfam family "Bacterial small subunit ribosomal RNA", at positions 338 to 795 of the family's 1533-position model. The record is from RNAcentral.